RNAcentral lists this ribosomal RNA (253 nucleotides) under uncultured bacterium. Its description in RNAcentral is "partial 16S ribosomal RNA". It matches the Rfam family "Bacterial small subunit ribosomal RNA", at positions 524 to 776 of the family's 1533-position model. The record is from RNAcentral.
UACAGAGACUGCAAGCGUUAUUCGGAUUCACUGGGCGUAAAGGGUGCGUAGGUGGCGCCGUAAGUCAGGUGUGAAAUUUCGGAGCUUAACUCCGAAACUGCAUUUGAUACUGCGGUGCUUGAGGACUGGAGAGGAGACUGGAAUUCACGGUGUAGCAGUGAAAUGCGUAGAUAUCGUGAGGAAGACCAGUGGCGAAGGCGGGUCUCUGGACAGUUCCUGACACUGAGGCACGAAGGCUAGGGGAGCAAACGGG